RNAcentral lists this ribosomal RNA (270 nucleotides) under uncultured soil bacterium. RNAcentral describes it as "partial 16S ribosomal RNA". It matches the Rfam family "Bacterial small subunit ribosomal RNA", at positions 26 to 285 of the family's 1533-position model. The record is from RNAcentral.
AGAAUCAACGCUGGCGGCGUGCCUAACACAUGCAAGUCGAGCGCGAAAGGGGAGCAAUCCCCGAGUAGAGCGGCGAACGGGUGAGUAACGCGUGGGUAAUCUACCUCCGAGUGGGGAAUAACAGCGGGAAACUGCUGCUAAUACCGCAUGACAUCGUCGAGCCUUCGGGCCUGACGAUCAAAGCCGGGGACCGCAAGGCCUGGCGCUUGGAGACGAGCCCGCGUCCGAUUAGCUAGUUGGCGGGUAAUGGCCCACAGGCUCCGAUCGGUA